Long non-coding RNA from Sander lucioperca (pikeperch), 186 nucleotides. RefSeq lists it as uncharacterized. NCBI's taxonomy places the organism in Eukaryota, Metazoa, Chordata, Actinopteri, Perciformes, Percidae. The transcript is spliced from 3 exons. The record is from RefSeq and is a predicted model, not a curated record.
AAAAUGCAAAUAUAAUAGUGAUAGACCGAUUUUAUCGGCCGGCCGAUAUAUCGGGCCGAUAUUUGCGUUUUUACGUGUAUCGGCAUCGGCCGAUAUGCGGCUGCUGCGUUCGUCGAUAGUUUUUUCCCGGCAUUAUUUACAGACAGGCGUCCACAGGCAGCUCUGUGUUGCUGGAGACGCUGCAGU